CAGAGGCAGCAGAUUCAGCAGAACAGAACCGGGCCGAAACCUGAACCCAUUCCAGUUUCCAGGGGUUCUGGAAAAAUGGCUUCUUUCUGGA
Molecule: long non-coding RNA, 91 nt
Organism: Poecilia latipinna (sailfin molly)
Lineage: Eukaryota; Metazoa; Chordata; Actinopteri; Cyprinodontiformes; Poeciliidae
Exons: 3
Source: RefSeq, a predicted model, not a curated record